GUUACUAUGUAACAAACUUGUGAAGUUGAAUAGUGGAUUCAUAUUAUCUCAUUUAACUCCUGGAGGAGUGGUUCAUGCAAAGAAUAAUAUUAACUGGGGGGUGGGGGAAGUAGUUAGUGUUCUUAUAUCUAGAUGUUCAUAGAAGUAAUUCUGAAACCUACUUUUUCUAAUUUCUAGAGACAGAAUAAUGUAGUAGUUAAAAACUUGGACUCUGGAGUCAAACUGCAUUGUUUUAAAACCUGGCUCCUCUACUUAUUAGCUUCAUAAACCUGGCAAACUACUUAACCUCUCUGUAAACUGGGAAUAAUAAAUAACAGUAGUUAUCUCCUAGGUCUUGAGGAGUAAGAGUGAAUUUAGGUAAAGCACUGAAAACAUCAACAAUGAAAAUAAUGUAAAUUACACAGUGCGAACUGGUAGGUGUUAAUUAUUACUAACAGAAUGACUUCAAUCCUAAGAGGAACAAAUGACUCACGGUGCUUUAAAAAAAAAAAAAUGAGAGGCCAAGUUAUCUUUAAGCUUUUCAAAAUGAAGGAGAAAUUUAAAACAACAACAACAACUCUUUUUCUCCCUACCACCUUUCAUUUGCUAGCUUCCCCUCUGAAUUCAGAGGUUCUUAACUGGAAGGUGUAGAAGCCUCUGACUUAGGUGGAAACAGCUGAGGCAAUGUAUUUUCCUUACCAUAAUGUUUAUGACCUGUCAUCAUCACCAGCUGCUGAACUUUUUUUCAGGUUGGACGGCAAUUAGAAGCUGAGCAGGCCUACAAGUACACGAAAAAGCUGAAAUUGAAAGAUGAGGCUUUGCUUGCAGAGAUCCACACAGUACAGGAAACCGUUGGCUUUGGAAAUCCAUCUUUCUGAUACCUCUCCAGCUGAACAAUUUUCUAUAUGAGACUCUGAGUUCCUUUCCUUCCCAGAGAGUUUCACACCAUAUGAAGCCUGGAAAUGGGCUGCUGGGUUUGUAAAAAUAACCUACAAAAGAAUCUUCACCAUAAAUAGAGACCCAUUCAUUUCUUUCCAUUGGCUGUGUUACUGGAUGUUUUACUGGUUGAUAAGAAACUGGGUCACAAUAAAGAAUGAAAAUAUGAAACUCA
This is a long non-coding RNA of Cebus imitator (Panamanian white-faced capuchin), 1090 nucleotides long. RefSeq lists it as uncharacterized. The record is from RefSeq and is a predicted model, not a curated record. The transcript is spliced from 2 exons. NCBI's taxonomy places the organism in Eukaryota, Metazoa, Chordata, Mammalia, Primates, Cebidae.